GAAGCUAGGAACCCCCUGCCCAGGAGCCCCCCAGGCUGGGGGUAGAGAAGCUAGGAGACCCUGGUCCUCCAGGUCAGGAGCCUUGGAGAUUCCACCCUCCUCCUCUAUAGGACAGGCACUCCCAAGAUCAGCCUCAGCCAGUCUGUGAAGACCGAUGGGAGCAGAACACGGCUGGAGGGAGGGGUAACCGGGGGCAUGUGGUCAUAAAGGGGCCAGGAACACGGCAUCAGAGCACAGCAAAGGAUGCCCCAAAGUGAAAAAGGAGCUGAAGAAGUACCAUAGAAGGCCCUUCCUGCAGCCUCAGGCUGAGAUCCGAGUGAGAGGCAGAGAAACAGGCAGAGGGAACAGCAUGGACCAGGGCCCAAAAGAGCAGACGGGAAGGUGCUCAGGGGCUACUACACCAGGCCUCUCCUCAGAGCCCGAAAGUGGGGCAGGCAGGACCAGCGCGACGGAAACACAGCACGACGCCAGGAGCCAACAGGCAGAGAGAAGCGGAGCGCCGCGGACCACCGAGGGAGGCGGUGCAGGAACCCGCCUGCCCGCGCCGG
Canis lupus familiaris (dog) is the source of this 548-nucleotide long non-coding RNA. RefSeq lists it as uncharacterized. The transcript is spliced from 3 exons. NCBI's taxonomy places the organism in Eukaryota, Metazoa, Chordata, Mammalia, Carnivora, Canidae. The record is from RefSeq and is a predicted model, not a curated record.